AUUUUAUUAAUAUAAAAGGUAUAUUUGAUUUCCAAUCAAAAAGUUUAAAAUUUAAAUAAAAUA
Molecule: transfer RNA, 63 nt
Filed under: Aphis gossypii (cotton aphid)
Lineage: Eukaryota; Metazoa; Arthropoda; Insecta; Hemiptera; Aphididae
Description: tRNA-Gly
Source: RNAcentral